Molecule: long non-coding RNA, 880 nt
Organism: Uranotaenia lowii
Lineage: Eukaryota; Metazoa; Arthropoda; Insecta; Diptera; Culicidae
Exons: 3
Source: RefSeq, a predicted model, not a curated record
UUAAUGAGAUAGUUCUAGUAUAUAAUUGAAUUGAAAACGAUUUCCACCAAUCAUUUAUUGAGAGUCGAACUUGAUAAGAACGCUGCAUUGGAGUUACAUUCUUGUUUAAUGAUAGUUGACCUUAUGUCAUAGCGUAACGGCCUGGAUUGAGAAUUUCCCGAGGUCGAGUUCGGGAUGUAUCUCCCGGGUCAUGUGGAAAAGAGAAAGCUAGAUAUGGGGCUGUAGGAGCAAAAACGAGCAACUAGAUCGUGCUCUCAAAACCCGAGCCUCCCCGAGGGUUCUCGUGGUAUGACGUAGUUCCGGGGAGCUAGGUCUGAUAGCGCUUUCCCUGAUCUGAGGGUUCACAGUCUUACAUUUAGCCCCAGUUUGCCCACGAGGUUGGUUGUGCGCGUUUUUGUUCGGGUUUCGUUAUUUCGUUUAAGCUAGAAAUAAGCCGUGUGUGUGUCAGGUUACCAAUUUUGUGUGCCUAAGAAAAUCAAGAGCGAUCGCCAAAAACAGCAGCAGGCCCCCUGCCACACACCACACCCCGAUACACCAGCCCGUUGGGCAUACCUUCUUCGCUGGAAAUCAAACCACCAGCUCGCCCGAUUCGUCAACAUAUCGGCAUCCGAAGAAGUCUGGGAGAUUCUGGUGGCACUGGAAGCUACAUCCGGUGUAAGCAACCCCGAUUACACCAGCAUACAUCCGGUCAAACCACGAUUACCAUCCACCACUCACCGAAUGAAAUCUGAGUUGCGAACAGCCAAUCAUCGUCGCCGUCGUCAGCGAGCCACAGCAGCAGCAGCAGAUACAACCAAGUAGGUGCUUUCCAGUAGGGGUUCAUCCAUAAAGGAUGACACCUUUCAUAUAAAACCCAAUUGAUCGAUCAUAACCUUUUUAA